Molecule: ribosomal RNA, 517 nt
Filed under: uncultured bacterium
Lineage: Bacteria
Description: bacterial SSU rRNA
Rfam family: Bacterial small subunit ribosomal RNA
Source: RNAcentral
AGAGUUUGAUUCUGGCUCAGGAUGAACGCUAGCUACAGGCUUAACACAUGCAAGUCGAGGGGCAGCAUUGGAGUAGCAAUACUCAGAUGGCGACCGGCGCACGGGUGAGUAACACGUAUCCAACCUGCCGCUUACUCGGGGAUAGCCUUUCGAAAGAAAGAUUAAUACCCGAUGGUAUAAAGAGUUCGCAUGUUCUCUUUAUUAAAGAAUUUCGGUAAGCGAUGGGGAUGCGUUCCAUUAGAUAGUUGGCGGGGUAACGGCCCACCAAGUCUACGAUGGAUAGGGGUUCUGAGAGGAAGGUCCCCCACAUUGGAACUGAGACACGGUCCAAACUCCUACGGGAGGCAGCAGUGAGGAAUAUUGGUCAAUGGACGAGAGUCUGAACCAGCCAAAGUAGCGUGAAGGAUGACUGCCCUAUGGGUUGUAAACUUCUUUUAUAAGGGAAUAAAGUGAGGGACGUGUCCCUUUUGUAUGUACCUUAUGAAUAAGGAUCGGCUAACUCCGUGCCAGCCGCGGC